GUAGAAUCUGUGAGGAGCAAACUGACCGGUCAGCCGAAGGCCAAGGACAACCUCACUUCUUUUGAGGACUGACAAGGAACACAAGCUUUGAGGAGUCAUUUUUCAGCCUUCAUACCUUCAGCAGAAUGGGUUUUUGUGGUUGUAAUUGGUGAGAGUUCUCCUGGAAACCU
Molecule: long non-coding RNA, 170 nt
Organism: Sphaerodactylus townsendi
Lineage: Eukaryota; Metazoa; Chordata; Lepidosauria; Squamata; Sphaerodactylidae
Exons: 3
Source: RefSeq, a predicted model, not a curated record